RNAcentral lists this ribosomal RNA (292 nucleotides) under uncultured bacterium. RNAcentral describes it as "partial 16S ribosomal RNA". The record is from RNAcentral.
GGACUACACGGGUUUCUAAUCCUGUUUGCUCCCCACGCUUUCGUGCCUCAGCGUCAGUUAUGGGCCAGUGAGCCGCCUUCGCCACUGGUGUUCUUGCGAAUAUCUACGAAUUUCACCUCUACACUCGCAGUUCCACUCACCUCUCCCAUACUCAAGACUUCCAGUAUCAAGGGCAGUUCUGGAGUUGAGCUCCAGGAUUUCACCCCUGACUUAGAAACCCGCCUACGCACCCUUUACGCCCAGUGAUUCCGAGCAACGCUAGCCCCCUUCGUAUUACCGCGGCUGCUGGCAC